Molecule: ribosomal RNA, 486 nt
Filed under: uncultured bacterium
Lineage: Bacteria
Description: partial 16S ribosomal RNA
Rfam family: Bacterial small subunit ribosomal RNA
Source: RNAcentral
GACGAACGCUGGCGGCGUGCUUAACACAUGCAAGUCGAACGCUGAAGACCUGGCUUUUGUUGGGUUGGAUGAGUGGCGAACGGGUGAGUAACACGUGAGUAACCUGCCCUCUUCUUUGGGAUAACGCCCGGAAACGGGUGCUAAUACUGGAUAUUCACUGAUCUUCGCAUGGGGGUUGGUGGAAAGGUUUGUUCUGGUGGGGGGUGGGCUCGCGGCCUAUCAGCUUGUUGGUGGGGUGAUGGCCUACCAAGGCUUUGACGGGUAGCCGGCCUGAGAGGGUGACCGGUCACAUUGGGACUGAGAUACGGCCCAGACUCCUACGGGAGGCAGCAGUGGGGAAUAUUGCACAAUGGGCGAAAGCCUGAUGCAGCGACGCCGCGUGAGGGAUGGAGGCCUUCGGGUUGUAAACCUCUUUCGCUCAUGGUCAAGCCGCAACUGUGGGUUGUGGUGAGGGUAGUGGGUAAAGAAGCGCCGGCUAACUACGUG